RNAcentral lists this ribosomal RNA (441 nucleotides) under uncultured bacterium. RNAcentral describes it as "partial 16S ribosomal RNA". It matches the Rfam family "Bacterial small subunit ribosomal RNA", at positions 338 to 795 of the family's 1533-position model. The record is from RNAcentral.
CCUACGGGAGGCAGCAGUGGGGAAUAUUGCACAAUGGGGGAAACCCUGAUGCAGCAACGCCGCGUGAGUGAAGGAGGAUUUCGGUAUGUAAAGCUCUAUCAGUAGGGAAGAAGAAAGACGGUACCUGACGAAGAAGCGCCGGCUAACUACGUGCCAGCAGCCGCGGUAAUACGGAGGGGGCAAGCGUUAUCCGGAUUUACUGGGGGUAAAGGGAGCGUAGACGGCUGUGCAAGGCAGAAGUGAAAGCCCGUGGCUCAACCGCGGAACUGCUUUGGAAACUGUAUGGCUUGAGUACUGGAGAGGCAGGCGGAAUUCCUGGUGUAGCGGUGAAAUGCGUAGCUAUUAGGAGGAACACCAGUGGCGAAGGCGGCCUGCUGGACCGAAACUGACGUUGAGGCUCGAAAGCGUGGGGAGCAAACAGGAUUAGAUACCCGAGUAGUC